RNAcentral lists this ribosomal RNA (374 nucleotides) under uncultured eukaryote. RNAcentral describes it as "SSU rRNA". It matches the Rfam family "Eukaryotic small subunit ribosomal RNA", at positions 587 to 972 of the family's 1831-position model. The record is from RNAcentral.
AGCUCCAAUAGCGUAUAUUAAAGUUGUUGCGGUUAAAAAGCUCGUAGUUGGAUCUCGGCGGGCAGGGGGUGGUUCGCUCUUCAGCGCUACUGCCCCGCUUUGCCCGUGUGAUUGGCGGAGGUUUCGGGGUGCUCUUCGUUGAGUGACUCGGUUUACUUUGAAAAAAUUAGAGUGCUCAAAGCAGGCUUUUCACGCUUGAAUAUUCGUGCAUGGAAUAAUGGAAUAGGAACUCGUUUCUAUUUUGUUGGUUUUCGGAAAUCGAGUUAAUGAUUAACAGGGACAAUUGGGGGCAUUAGUAUUCAGACGACAGAGGUGAAAUUCUUGGACCGUCUGAAGACUGACUACUGCGAAAGCAUUUGCCAAGAGUGUUUUCA